Molecule: long non-coding RNA, 499 nt
Filed under: Physcomitrium patens
Lineage: Eukaryota; Viridiplantae; Streptophyta; Bryopsida; Funariales; Funariaceae
Description: long non-coding RNA (PPAT_LNC007178)
Source: RNAcentral
UCUAUUCCAACAAUUUGUCUAGAUACUACACUAGAACCAUCUUUUGGGUCAUAAUUCGAUAUGUACUCCUCUAGCAUGUCUACAUCAACUGGUGAUAAAUUAUCCAACCUCUAUAAGAAUUCUCACACCUACAUAUUCCUAAAUUCCUUCUAAUGCCAUGGAGACUAACAAAUAUUCUACUAGAUUGACUUUAUAUUCACUAAAAUUAUAAUUUCUAUUGGUACUAAAUUUGUUCAAGCUUUCACAUUCUUCUAUCUAUCGUCCUUGUUUAAGUCUUUUUUUGCACAUUCAAUUGCCAUGAUACAUACUCUACAAAGCUUCAAUCAUCAAUGCUACUGUCUAGUACUCUAAAAAAUACACAAAAUUAUAAAACAAAAAAAUCAACAAAAUACAAAACCAUAGAAUGGACUUGAAUUGGUGCUCUACACCUAUUCUUUUUUUUCAGUGGUAAUAACAACAAUGUGCUAACUAUAAUAUAGUUCCUCUCUCCUCGUCUCCC